Long non-coding RNA from Physeter macrocephalus (sperm whale), 4508 nucleotides. RefSeq lists it as uncharacterized. Lineage: Eukaryota; Metazoa; Chordata; Mammalia; Artiodactyla; Physeteridae. The transcript is spliced from 3 exons. The record is from RefSeq and is a predicted model, not a curated record.
GCUUCUCGGUAGCCUGAUCCCGCCUCCUCCUCAUGACCCGCAGGGACUCCUGCUCGAUCCGUAUCAGUUACACUCUGCCUCUCAUUUCAGUCAAAGUGUCAACAAUCUGGAAUACUCCCCCAUCCUGCUCACGAUAUUUUUAGAACAAACAAACAACUGACAUAUUUAGCUGAAAUAAAUCACCCCAAGAAACCUCAGUUUGGCUCAUUUUUCGCUCCCACUUCAGCUAUUAAUCGCAACUCCGAUUAGCUUCCUGGAACCAGCACCUAAGCCGGAAAUGACCGGGACAGGCUGACCUGAGAACAUGUGUGGAAUCACACUGUCCGGACUCGGGAGACCUCCUCCCAUGCCUGAGUGUGACGUUUUCAGGAAGGGAGCCCUUUCAUUCGGUGCUAUCCACAAAGCAGCAGUCGGACGGUUUCCUGAGCACGGUCUGACCGGGUGGAACCAGGGGCUGACGGGGUGCAGGGCAGCAGAAGGCCGAGAACCUGCCCCCCGCUCUGGUGAGCGAUUCGGUGAGCAAGUGCCUUGGGCCCGGUGAGCCCUCUGCUAUAUAAACGUGUAAACAGGAAAAAUUUGAAAAAAAGUUCUCCAUUUAACUACCCCGGCUCUAAAAAGAAAUAAUCUAUUCUGUCUGAACCACAAAGCCAUUGGUCGUCUCUAAAAUCGUGAGGGGGCAAACCAAGAGCAGAUCUACUGACAGGCCGCUCCCCAAAUGCCAUCUCUGCAGGAUUUAUUUCUGACUCAGCUGCCACGGCCUGGAUCUCCCCACAUUCCCAUGUCUGAGGAUGGGAGCUCAAGAAGAAAAGAUGCACUGGGGGCCCUUUUCAGGGAUGAAGGCAGAUGCCAAAGAGUGGGGAUCCUACAGUCACCUAGACCUAGAAGGAAGAGGGCUCAGCCCGAUGAGACACGGACUCUAAGGAAGCCAUGAAGUUCUGUCAUUUAGAAAUGGCAGCCUCCACCCAAAGUCAAGAAGAGCGCCAGAAAGGAAGAGGGCAGCAGGGUGCUGCGAAGCUGGCCAGCUCUGCGGGACCAGAGGUGGAUCAGGCAUCCCGCUGGGAUCACAGGCCGAAUGGAGCCAUGGGUCCUUGCACAGAACCUGCUCCCAUGAAUCCUGGCCUGUUUUAUCUGCGUUCUCUCUUUACCUUCCCUGUGUUCUCACGUAGCACAUCAUGAGGUUUGGUACACAUUUGGCAGAGAGCGGGCUCUCUCACCCUUAACUGGAGGGAUGUUUAAAGGAGAGCAAGUCUGACCAUCUGCAGGUGGGUGAUGCAUUCCCCACCAGCUGUUUUCGGCUCAGGAUCCCACAAGAAUGCUUAGGAGAUAAAUUUGAAGAUUCUUUUCUUGCUCUCCUUUAGCUCUCAGGUGUUUUUGUUUUGUUUGUCAUUAACUUAAAAUGCAAAGACCACUACAAAUGAACUGGCACUCAACUGUACUUGUACUAUAUGAAGCUUUUUCACAGUUGGCUGGGUAAUUAGCAGGAGCUGUAUAUGACCCGGAAAUAAGUAGACAUCAUCAUUUUAUCACUUAGCGGAACUUGGCAGAGUGAAAGCGGAAACAGACACUAGACGAAACACAGGAACGGCCACACUAUUUUCCAAAGCAGCUGCACCAUUAGACAUUCCCACCAGCAGAGCACAAGGGUUCCGGCUUCGCCACAUCCUCUCCAGCACCUGUUAGUAUCUGUUUGUUUUUUGUUUUGUUUUUUUAAAAAUAAUAGUCAUCCUAAUGGUAUCUCAUUGUGGGUUUUUUUUUUGUUUUGUUUUGUUUUUUGUGGUACGCGGGCCUCUCACUGCCGUGGCCUCUCCCGUUGCAGAGCACAGGCUCCGGACGCGCAGGCUCAGCGGCCAUGGCUCACGGGCCCAGCCGCUCUGCGGCACGUGGGAUCUUCCCGGACCGGGGCACGAACCCGUGUGCCCUGCACACGGGGCGGACUCUCAACCACUGCGCCACCAGGGAAGCCCUUAUUGUGGUUUUGAUUUGCAUUUCCCUAAUGAUUGGUGAUGCUAAGAAUAUUUUCAUGUGCUUACUGGCCAUUUGAAUAUCUACUUUGUAGAAAUGUCUAUUUAAGUCCUUUGUCCACUUUUUAUUCAAGUUCUUUUGCUGUUGUUGUUGUUGUGGAAAGUUGAUUUUAAAUAAGCUACUGCACCACUGAAUCCACUCCACUUUGGUCUGUGGUGUCGUUUAGGCUGUCACCCAGGCUGUCACCCACUCUCCUUUGCCCAAAGAUCCCCUCCCCAGCUUGUAUCUGAGGAACAGGCAUCCCUGGCUUGGUUACCUUGCACUCAUCCCUCCCAGACAUCCUUCAGGUUUCCAAUGGAUCAUUUCUCUAGUUUAAUAAGAUGAACAGCCUCUUUCCUUGUGGUCCAACUUUCUAUCAAAUACAAAUUUAAUAGGCAUGUUCAUUACUCCAUCACUCAGCUCAGACAUAAAAAUAGCCCAUAACACCUGGCCUCUCAGUAAUCACUACAUCAAAACAUUACUCAGUAUGAUAUUUCAACUUAAACUGAGUUUCUCUGAGACUAUGCGUGUUAAGUGACACAGACUGAGAAAAAGGCACAAUCUUACUUGCCAAGUAAUGUUUUUUUUAAACCAGGUAUAUAUACUCCACUCAAGAAAAGAAUGAUCCUCAUCAAGUUUUCUGGUUUAUUGAAGAGAUUAACAGAGGAUAUAGGAUAAAAAUCCUGUUCAUCUGGAUUGUUAGCUUGAAGAGAGCAUAAACUGCCUUUCUCUUGUCCAUGGCGGCAUGCCCAGCACCUCACAUGGCAACUGGAAUGUGGGAAGAACGCAAUGCUUCGAGGGCACAGAGGCCAAGGUCAGGCUGCCUGGGUUCAAAGUAUGACUCUGCCACUUACUAGUUAGUUCCUGUUGAUGUAAAAAGCAGCACGAUUGUCUGAAAAAAUCUGUUUCCACGGGUACGAGAAUAGAAGACCACAUACAGAAGAAGAGAUUGUUUUCCAAUCUGGUGACUUGAGGAUUUGUUUCAACAACAUCUGAUAUAUCAAAGUCAUGGAUCAGAAAACACCAUAAUGAUCCCACUUGUAUUUUUAUCUUUGAGAGGUUUCAAAAUUUACUUUUUGUGCUUUGUGGUAACAUUUGAUGGUUUCUUAAGUGUGUUGUUGAUUUGAUGACCUCUCUGAGAGCUGGAGAAUAAGUGCCUGUAUGUGUUCUACUUAAGUAGGAAAGAGUAAAGUUCAAAUCAACUAAAAAUCUGUAAUUAGGAAAGUUGUACAACCACAAUUUGUCUCAGGGCAAGAAACUACAUCCUGGUGUGGCUGCCCUUAGCAGCCAUUGGAAGGCUUGCUGAAUUAGAAUAAAAUAUCUCAGUUAUACUAAAGUUCUCAAAUGUGCCACCAUUGGUAUGAUACUAUCUGGUAUAUUUUCCAGAGACAAAAGUAACAAACUGUCAGUUCUCAUUGCGAUAUUUUAUCUAAAAAUGAAUAAUCCCAUGGCAGAAACACGAAGUCUGUGAGGGCCUGACCAAGCCCUGGCCACACUGUCUUUAGAAGAAACAAUUGUUCCCAACAUCACCUGGCAUCUACUUCUACAUUCUUGGGCCAGUGAGGAAAAUUACUAAGUAAAAUACAUUAAUCAAUUAGGAAAUUUUUGCAAAGCUCUGUUUUAAAAGAAGAACAAUCGAGGCUCUUAUACCAAGUACAGGAGAUAGCGAAUCUAUCAGAAUCUGUGAACACUGUUCAAUAUAAAAAUGUGUACUUUGUUCAAUUUUAUUUUGGAAAAAACUUACAGUGUGUUAGAGACAUUUAACACAUAAUCAGCAAAUGCUAAUUUUUCAUCCUUUUGUUUAGGCAUUUAAUAGUUAAAGGGUUUAAAAAAACAAGUUUUCAACAGAAGUUAAAGGCAGUAUUAGAGGAACAAAAAAAGACAAGACACAUACAGAAAUGGCAGACAUACAUUCAACCAUCAUUAAUUAUAUGAAAUGUGAAUGGACCAGACACUUGACACAAAAGGCAGAACUUAUCAGACUAAACAAAAAAAGCAAGAUCCAAUGAUAUGCCAGCUAUAGAAGACAUACCGGAAGAAAUAAUGGCUGAGAAUUUUCUAGAAAUGAUAAACAAUACAAACAAGACCAAUCCACAGUUUUAAAAAGUCUCGAGCAGGAUCUACUCUUAGCUGUAUCACAGUGAAAAUGCCAAGCAUCAGAAAGAAUGGCAAUGAAAGCAGCCAGAGAGAAAAGACAGAUGACAUUAAAAUGAACUAAAAUUAAACCAACGGUUGACUUCUCAACAAUGACAAAAGGAGCAAGAUCACUGUGCUGUGAGGAAAUGUGAGCCUAGAAUCAUAGAUCUAGUUUGAAAAUCUCUUUUGAGAGAAAGGACAAAUACAAUUUUAGACACAGGUUGAGAAAGUUUGCCAACAACAGACCCUCACUCAAAUUUCUAGGGUAAUCACUAAACAACAACAACCAAAAUAGAAUGUUUCUUUUCCAAAUUAGUAAAGGAAAAAUAUGUAAUAAAAACAUAAUUAUUUAAAAGAAGGUAGGAAAGGAG